UACUGCAUCAGAAGAGACGGCUCAUCACCUACAGUGCCAAAGACCCUCACCGGGACACUGGGAUGGCCCGUCACCUACAGUGCCAAAGACCCUCACUGGGACACUGGGAUGGCCAUCACCUACAGUGCCAAAGACCCUCACUGGGACACUGGGAUGGCCGGUCACCUACAGUGCCAAAGACCCUCACUGGGACACUGGGACGAAGCAGGAGAUGUCAAUCUUGACUCCAAUCUCAACAGGCCUAGGUAGAAGAAUAUUCUUCACCUCUGGAAAGAGUGGCUGAUAGACAACGGAGCUUCCUGCCCACCUAUGGAAAGACACUUUUAACCUGUUCUAGACACCGAAAUACCUCAAACUACCCAACUCCUACACAAAACACUUCCUAAGGAGCUCCUUCUAUUGCUUUGGUGUCAUGCCCAGAUGCAAAGUUAAAUUUUACACUCAGCAUCUGCGUAUCAGUCACGAAUGCCGCAGCAUCUUGGAUGAAGGGGCAGGGCUUUGCCCUCGGCAGUGCCUGAGAUCAGCUUCUCCUUCAAGAAAACUCGGCGCUUCAGACGUGGCCACAAUCCUGCCCUGCAUCCCGCCAUCCUCGCCAACGGACUGAUCGUCAGGCUUCAGCUUGAUUCCCGGGUCGCCGCAGAGGGGCGCCAUGCCCGCUACCGCGGAGUCUCUCCGCGCCUCCCAGUAGCGUCCUCGCCCACCCUCCCUUCGCUCCCAACC
This 720-nucleotide long non-coding RNA is filed under the name Rattus norvegicus (Norway rat). RNAcentral's name for it is "long non-coding RNA NONRATT013940". Lineage: Eukaryota; Metazoa; Chordata; Mammalia; Rodentia; Muridae. The record is from RNAcentral.